CAAAUGUGUUGAAAGUUCUUUUAACACCUUUUCAACACAAGCUGGCGGGAUAAACAAAACCCUAAAUCACCUUUCAAAUUUCAAACCCAUUUCUCCCUCUCUCAAAUUCCCAAAAACCUAGAUCUAGAUUUUCUCUGUCUUUCUCUUUCUGUAUUCAGAAAUCAAUGAAGAAGAACAUCGUUCCUGCUGAUCUAGGGUUCAACCCCCAUCAUCAACCCUCAUCUUCAACCCUCAUCUCUUCCUUCGUUCUCCUUCUCACUCUCUCUCGCAAACAGAGAAGAGGACUCAAACUGUAUACACAAAUCUCAGAACGAGUUAACCAGAUGAAGAUGAAGUGAGGAAGAUGAAGAUGACAAUACUUUGCAGAUCUGAGAUUUCUAGCUACAUUAAGUAGUUUUACAUUCAGAUCUGAGUCUUUUACAUUCAAAUCUGAUGGGUUUGCGUUCAGAUAUGACUGCUUCUACAGUUUCACAUUUCAUCUGACUGCUUCUGCAGUCUGCUUUGUGGUAGAAGGUUUCAUGGUCAAGGCUAUGGUUGAGGCAUAAAAAUUCAGAUCUUUAAAUAUAAUCUCAGAAAUAAUUUCGCAAGUUUGUGUCACUGUUGCUUUGGUGAGGAGAAAAAUAUGAAUGUGGCUGCAUAUGAUUGGAGACUCUCAUUUCAAAACACAGAGGUAGAUUGCUUUGGGUUUAACUUUCUCUUUAGAGGUGGCAAGGUGGACGAGUUUGGUAACACGAUAAAAGGAGCCAUGGCGAGUAUAAUUAUAAACACCGUUUCCCCAACAAUUAUGAUUGCAAUUAAUAAUUAGUGUGUUACUCGUGGUAACAAAAAAUUAUCAGUUUCUUAUUUGAUGCUUGUUUGUAGGUACUGAAGACAUUAAUAAGUGAAUACAUGUUUGUUUUGUUCUUGCUUGGUAGAGAAAUUGAUUGGCAGGAUAAGGUUUGAGCUGUGAAGAGGAUAAGAGAGCUCCAAGCCACACGUUAUAUCAGAGUUCUUGCAGAGAAAUUGAUUGGCAGGAUAAGAGUAUGAAGGCCAUUGAAAGCUCUAACUUCACCAUAAGUGCUUAGAAUGCUACCGUUAAACAAGCAGUUAGGAAUGAUGGAGAUUCAGAAAAAGGUUAUGCAAAUCGAAGCUGCGAAGCCUAAGAGAAGGGUUAAGAUGAUCUAGAUCUGCCAUCACUUCGCGAUUCACCAUAAGGGAGAAACGGAGAGCCUACAAAGCCCUAGCCGACAAGCUGUAGAUCUAGAUCGGAAGCUGUAGAUGGUGGUAGAGGAGAAAGGGAGCUCACGGUCAGAAAAGGAGCGACUUUCAUAUUUCAGCCAUUUGAGUUAGCGAGUAAUUGUGCUGAGGUACUUUGCUGUCGAGUUGCUCCAUUGCAGAAAGCUGGGAUUGUGGCACUGAUAAAGAAAAGGACAGAUGACAUGACUCUUGCCAUUGGGGAUGAAGGACGCAAGGACCUUUUUGACUGGUUGUCGAGGUAACUUACAGGAUUAGCAGAGUUCCCUGAUGCCAUUCAGUUACUGAGACCAGUUGCUGUUGCUAUGACGGAUAAAUCAGCAGAUGUUCUUAAAGCAGUAGAGGCGUGCAUUGGGGAUAUUGUCAGAGUUUGUGGACCAGAAAUGGUCAUGAAGAAUGUAAGAGAUAUUCAAGUCCCGCGCUGGCAAUUGUUCUUGAAUGAUUGAAGACACAGGGUGCAUUUCCAGAAGUGCAUGAGAACACCAGAACAGUCCCAGCUGGACAAACAUCGAAAACAGGUUCAAAGAUUGGCAAACCAAAUGGUCAUGCAUCAAGGCAUGGAAGC
Helianthus annuus (common sunflower) is the source of this 1798-nucleotide long non-coding RNA. RefSeq lists it as uncharacterized. Lineage: Eukaryota; Viridiplantae; Streptophyta; Magnoliopsida; Asterales; Asteraceae. The transcript is spliced from 11 exons. The record is from RefSeq and is a predicted model, not a curated record.